Molecule: ribosomal RNA, 552 nt
Filed under: Trichoderma hamatum
Lineage: Eukaryota; Fungi; Ascomycota; Sordariomycetes; Hypocreales; Hypocreaceae
Description: partial large subunit ribosomal RNA
Rfam family: Eukaryotic large subunit ribosomal RNA
Source: RNAcentral
AAACCAACAGGGAUUGCCCCAGUAACGGCGAGUGAAGCGGCAACAGCUCAAAUUUGAAAUCUGGCCCCUCCGGGUCCGAGUUGUAAUUUGUAGAGGAUGCUUUUGGUGAGGUGCCGCCCGAGUUCCCUGGAACGGGACGCCACAGAGGGUGAGAGCCCCGUCUGGCUGGCCACCGAGCCUCUGUAAAGCUCCUUCGACGAGUCGAGUAGUUUGGGAAUGCUGCUCAAAAUGGGAGGUAUAUGUCUUCUAAAGCUAAGACCGAUAGCGCACAAGUAGAGUGAUCGAAAGAUGAAAAGCACCUUGAAAAGAGGGUUAAACAGUACGUGAAAUUGUUGAAAGGGAAGCGCUUGUGACCAGACUUGGGCGCGGCGGAUCAUCCGGGGUUCUCUCCGGUGCACUUCGCCGCGUUCAGGCCAGCAUCAGUUCGUCGCGGGGGAAAAAGGCUUCGGGAACGUGGCUCCUCCGGGAGUGUUAUAGCCCGUUGCAUAAUACCCUGCGGUGGACUGAGGACCGCGCAUCUGCAAGGAUGCUGGCGUAAUGGUCACCAGCGAC